AACAGGCAAUCAGAUGUUGCAGACACACGUCAUGUUUCCUUCAGACUGAGAUCGUUCAGUGCUGCCUGAAAUAGGAUAUGAGGCAAAAAAGCAUAUGAAAAAAGAAGCCUGAGACAGGGGUGGAUGAGUGGCUCCUGUUUCAUGGGAUGAGUCCAUCCCACGUGACAGACAUCUGCAUGCAGAAUUUCAACUGGAGGAUUUGUGGCAUUCAUGAGACAAUGUAUGGCAAAGGAAGAUGCUUUGCCAGAGAUGCCAGUGACUCUCAUGAAUACUGCUCGUACAUGCUACCAUGCCAUGUUCAUAGCUUAAACUCUUGUUAGAGACUUUGCCUGGGGAAAAGUCUACCUUGCCUUCCACCCAAACCUGGGAUUUCAAACAAACUUCCGAACAGCUGUGUAGCUGAUCAAAAAAACCCCUCUGUCAUCUUCAAGAAGCACCAGAUUUACCCUGCCUGUAUCUUGGAGUAUACAUGCCCACCCAGUAAGGAUCCCGCGAGAGGGAAAAGUCUGUGAGAGAGUGAUUGCUAGCGUUUACGGACCAUAGGACAAGAGGUUCUUCACCUGCUGCCACCAGCAGUCCUAGUUGGGAGUGUGCCACAAGGCUGAAGUUGUAGCGUCACUACUCUGACAGUUCUUGAAGACAACAGGUACAGGAGUGUGAGCUGGACUCUGAAGACCGAGGUAAAUCAGGCACAUCAAUUAUUCUGUCAUUUUGGUGCUUUUGGCUGUUCUACACAGAUUUGCUUUGCUGUCAAAUGAGUAUCCCUCAAGUGGAUAUAUUAUAAUAUGAGAAAA
Long non-coding RNA from Numida meleagris (helmeted guineafowl), 794 nucleotides. RefSeq lists it as uncharacterized. Lineage: Eukaryota; Metazoa; Chordata; Aves; Galliformes; Numididae. The transcript is spliced from 5 exons. The record is from RefSeq and is a predicted model, not a curated record.